RNAcentral lists this ribosomal RNA (255 nucleotides) under uncultured bacterium. Its description in RNAcentral is "partial 16S ribosomal RNA". It matches the Rfam family "Bacterial small subunit ribosomal RNA", at positions 524 to 776 of the family's 1533-position model. The record is from RNAcentral.
UACGUAGGGGGGCUAGCGUUGUCCGGAAUCAUUGGGCGUAAAGCGCGCGUAGGUGGCUUCGUAAGUCCGUUGUGAAAGUCAAAGGCUCAACCUUUGAAAGCCGAUGGAUACUGCGGAGCUAGAGUACGGAAGAGGCGAGUGGAAUUCCUGGUGUAGCGGUGGAAUGCGCAGAUAUCAGGAGGAACACCAAUAGCGAAGGCAGCUCGCUGGGACGUUUACUGACACUGAGGCGCGAAAGCGUGGGGAGCGAACAGG